RNAcentral lists this ribosomal RNA (492 nucleotides) under uncultured bacterium. RNAcentral's name for it is "partial 16S ribosomal RNA". It matches the Rfam family "Bacterial small subunit ribosomal RNA", at positions 29 to 507 of the family's 1533-position model. The record is from RNAcentral.
AGUGAACGCUGGCGGUAGGCCUAACACAUGCAAGUCGAACGGCAGCACAGUAAGAGCUUGCUCUUACGGGUGGCGAGUGGCGGACGGGUGAGGAAUACAUCGGAAUCUACUUUUUCGUGGGGGAUAACGUAGGGAAACUUACGCUAACACCGCAUACGACCUACGGGUGAAAGCAGGGGAUCUUCGGACCUUGCGCGAUUGAAUGAGCCGAUGUCGGAUUAGCUAGUUGGCGGGGUAAAGGCCCACCAAGGCGACGAUCCGUAGCUGGUCUGAGAGGAUGAUCAGCCACACUGGAACUGAGACACGGUCCAGACUCCUACGGGAGGCUGCAGUGGGGAAUAUUGGACAAUGGGCGCAAGCCUGAUCCAGCCAUACCGCGUGGGUGAAGAAGGCCUUCGGGUUGUAAAGCCCUUUUGUUGGGAAAGAAAAGCAGCAGGUUAAUACCCCGCUGUUCUGACGGUACCCAAAGAAUAAGCACCGGCUAACUUCGUG